Molecule: long non-coding RNA, 905 nt
Organism: Gadus macrocephalus (Pacific cod)
Lineage: Eukaryota; Metazoa; Chordata; Actinopteri; Gadiformes; Gadidae
Exons: 2
Source: RefSeq, a predicted model, not a curated record
AACUGUUGGCAUCAGUCCUCCAUUGCCACUGCCCUGGGUCUGCAACACUCCCACCAUGAAAGUCUCAGAUAGUUUGUUCCUCAUGGCCCUUCUUUCAGCGGUUCGUGGCCAGCAACUCACCUCCUCAGAAUCUGUGGUAAAAAGGCAAGGAGAACCGGUUACACUGUCCUGUCACGUGACCGGAGUCUCUCUCACUUAUCUUCACUGGAUUCGCCAGAGGUCAGGACAUGGCCUGGAGUGGAUUGGACUGAUAGAUGGUGGAACCGGAAACAUUUUUGCAGCGUCUCUUCAAGGGCAGUUCACCAUUACCAAAGACAGCACCAGAGAGGAGGUUUACUUAAAUGUGAAGAGUCUGAAGCCAGAGGACUCAGCUCUUUAUUAUUGUGCUAAAGAGGCACAUUGACACAGAAGACUGCUCGGCUGUACAAAUACUGAGCCCUGAGGCAUGACCGGGGCUCCUGCAGAAAUGGUUGAUGAUAAGCAUUGAAGAUUAACAAGCAUUACAGGGAAAUGUAUUAAAGGUCCCAUGGCAUGCUACUUUAUGAAUGCUUUUAUAUAGCUGUUGGUCUAUUAUCCUUUUGCUUUUAUUUAUGAUAAUCACAUUGUAUUGCCACUGUAUGGAAGGCUACACUUGCCCUUAUCCAGAGCUGGUUUACCAGAACACAACAUUUAAAACUGAGCAGUCGAUGCCAACAGACGGUUACAACGUCAAUCAAUAGUCAAGUGUGUGAUAUGAUGGUUGAUUCUUUUAUAUUGAGUAAAACGUUCAAUGUCCACCAUGAUCAUGCGCAUCACUAGUAAACCAUACCUCACCAACCGGGCAACUCUCUGCUAUCAAAAUCUGGCCCCAGUUGCCAAACGGAAGUAGAAUCAUAAGAGCGCAUUGAGGUGUCGUUCACGAGAAC